Molecule: ribosomal RNA, 497 nt
Filed under: uncultured bacterium
Lineage: Bacteria
Description: partial 16S ribosomal RNA
Rfam family: Bacterial small subunit ribosomal RNA
Source: RNAcentral
GAUGAACGCUGGCGGCGUGCCUAACACAUGCAAGUCGAGCGAACAGACGAGGAGCGUGCCCCUCUGACGUUAGGGGCGGACGGGUGAGUCAUAUGUGGAUAACCUACCUAUAAGACUGGGAUAAGUUCGGGAAACCGGAGACAAUACCGGACAAUAUAUUGAACGGCAUGGUUCAAUAGUGAAAGACGGAUUUGCUGACACUUAUAGAGGGAUCCGCGUCGCAGUAGUUAGUUGGUAAGGUGACGGCCUACCAAGGCAACGAUGCGUAGCCGACCUGAGAGGCGUACCGGCCACACUGGAACUGAGACACGGUCCAGACUCCUACGGGAGGCAGCAGUUGGGAAUCUUCCACAAUGGGCGCAAGCUUGACGGAGCCAUGCCGCGUGAGUGAUGAAGGUCUUCGGAUUGUAAAACUCUUUAAGUGGGGAAGAACGGAAGUGAGAUUAUCUAUGCAUGUCUUGACGGUACCUACUGAGAAAGCCACGGCUAACUACGUG